UUCUGCUCAUCAAGGAUGCAUUUAUUUGAUCAGAAAUACAGAAAAAAAAACAGUAAUGUGAAAUAUUAUUGCAAUUUAAAAUAAUGGAUUUCUAUUUUAAUAUACUUAAAAAUAUAAUUUAUUCUUGUGAUGCUAAGCUGAAUGUUCUUCAGCGUCAUUACUCCAGUCUUCAGUGUCACAUCAUCCUUCAGAAAUCAUUCUUAAAUGCUGAUUUAUUACAGUUUUGCUGCUUAAUGUUUUUUUGGAACCUGUGAUACUUUUUUCAGGAUUCUUUGAUAAAUAAAAACUUAAAAGGAACAUCAUUUAUUCAAAAUAGAAAUCUUUUGUUACAAUAUACACUAUCAUUCAAAAGUUUUCAAAGGUAUUUUUUUUCUUUUUGAAAUAAAUUUAUGCUUUUAUUCAACAAGGAUGUGUUAAAUUGAUAAAGAGUGAUAAUGAAGACUUACACUGUUGGAAAGGAUUUUAAAUAAACGCUGUUCUUUUUAACAUUAUUCAUCAAAGAAUCCUGUAUCAAAAAAGUAUCACAGGUUCCAAAAACUGCAGCACAACUGUUUCCAACAUUGAUAAUAAAUCAGCAUAUUGGAAUGUUUUCUGAGGGAUCAAGUGACACUGAAGACUGGAGUAUUGAUGCUGAAAAUUCAGCUUUGCAUCACAGAAAUUUUUAAAUAUAUUAAAAUAUAUUAAAAUAGAAAACCAUUAUUUUAAAUGGUAAUAAUAAUUUACAAUCUUACUGUUUUUCUGUAUUUUUGGUGAAAUAACUGCAGCCUUGAUGAACAGAAGAGACUUUUUUAAAACACAUUAAAAAUCUUACUGAUUCCAAACUUUUGAACAGAAGUGUAUCAGUUUUCAUUUUAAUGAAUUAAUUAUUGAUUUCCUCUUUAUUGGCUGCUACUAGUCCUCCUUAAUCAAUUAAGAGUUUUGCACUUCAGGUUUUAAGUAUCGGUAGCUCUUCAAGCGAUAUUACCUUGGUUCUUUUCUACUGCUAGCUAGCAAAGAAAUGAAUGUGUUGUUACUGCAUGUAGCAUAUGGUGCUGCGCUUUCUGACAGUCCAAUGAUGCACACUACUCAAAAUACAGCUGCCCCAGGCUCACCGUGUGGGUGGAUGAAAUUUGGAUAUGUCAACUGUUAAAAUAACAAGAUACAAUUUAAAUGGCUUAGUUUUAGGUGGCAUAGCAGCCAUUUUACUCUCAAGUGUUUUAAAGUGAGAUGAUUAAAUAAAGUGAGAAGUCUUGUUGUUAGGAGAUUCACUGAACAGUCACACGGUAAAGCUAAAUGCUCGCUUUUACUAGUGAAAAAUUGGACCCAAAUUUUUAACUUUUUGAGUUGCUAUUGCAACAUAAAUAUUAGUUUAUGCCACUAGUCUUCUGUAGAUAAUCAUUUACUUAAUAGUGCUGGCAUAAUAACAAGAAGCGUUCUUUCAAAUUAUGACCAUUAUUUAUGUCAGUGAUACUGAAGUUUGUGUAUUUGUUGUUUUGGCAAAGCAGAUUUUUUGGGCAGUUUCUUUGUGGAGUACUGAUAUCCUGAGCAUGUUAAAUCACAUAUGAAAUAUACUCCUUAAUGGUGAUUUUGUAAAUAAAUAAAUGCAUAUAUUGAAGCUGA
Cyprinus carpio carpio is the source of this 1599-nucleotide long non-coding RNA. Lineage: Eukaryota; Metazoa; Chordata; Actinopteri; Cypriniformes; Cyprinidae. The record is from Ensembl.